Long non-coding RNA from Melanotaenia boesemani (Boeseman's rainbowfish), 659 nucleotides. RefSeq lists it as uncharacterized. The record is from RefSeq and is a predicted model, not a curated record. Lineage: Eukaryota; Metazoa; Chordata; Actinopteri; Atheriniformes; Melanotaeniidae. The transcript has 3 exons.
AUGGGAUUAAACGUUUACACAAGGUAGUGAUUAUUUUCCAGGUUUCUGAGUGUCAGUGCCACGUAUUCCUCUGAACAGCUGCACCUGUACAUAGACACUUGAGGGUCACGUCAACCAAGAAACUCACUUUCUUUGUCUCUCCUGUCAUCCUGUCUCUGUCUCCCCCUUUCUGCUUAACAAUGUGGCAGAUAUUUUUUUUCUAAAUGUCUACCUGUCCACCUACCUGUCAAUCAGCUUUAAUUGUCUGGCUCAAUACAUGUUUUUCUCCAUGCAUACCCUUUCUUUAACACAUGGUCUAACUCUGACUUCUGGAGCCGCCAUGGGUGAAGUCAUUUUUUCUUUUCCAGAAUAUGUAAUGUGAAUUGUGAACAGCUAAUAGGGGUUUAUAUUGUCCCCUGUAGCCACACCAGCUGAGAGCUGGAAGUUUGACUUAUCAUUAGCUUGAAACAGUCACUCAGACGGACAUCUGUGCCACUGCAGCCUCUUGCGCGAACGUUGGGUUGGGGGUCUCCUUGUACCUGGCAGCGGAACUCCACCAUCUCCUCUUCCAGGACCACCUGGUUGAUGGGUCUCCGCAGAAAGUAGAUGGUGGGCUCGGGAUGGCCUCUGGGAGGGACACAUUCAAGAAUUGCUGGCUCUCCUGCUGCCACAACCACAUC